AAUCCAAGAUUACAGUACGGUAGUUUUGCGAGUUCACUACCCAACUCGUUGUUUUACACCGGGCUCACAACAAAUCCUAAAACCCCCAAUUUCUCUUAGGCUUGGGACGCCUUUCCCUUGUUCCAAGUCCCUUGACUGGAACAAGCACCACAAUAAAAGAGUUUACAAAAGAAAAUAAAAGCUCUAAGAAGCAAAUAUAACAAUUAUGAAUAAUGUAACCCGGAAGAAUCCUUUUGCCGUUGGAAGCGUGGGAAAUGUUGAUUCUUCCGAGGUGGAGCGCGUAGGGUUGAGUGUGAGCUUCGAAUCCCGAGCGCACAAGGGUGGUUGAGCUUGAAAUCGCUUGGGAGACUUGAGAAUACUUGAUUUCCUUCCUUGAAUGCACUCACUCCCUUGAGCUUUUCUUUCUAACUUCUCUCUUGAAUGAUCUAGCUUUUUGGUUGGU
This 442-nucleotide long non-coding RNA is filed under the name Phoenix dactylifera (date palm). Its description in RNAcentral is "long non-coding RNA (PDAC_LNC022696)". Lineage: Eukaryota; Viridiplantae; Streptophyta; Magnoliopsida; Arecales; Arecaceae. The record is from RNAcentral.